GCGCAGCAGGCGCGAAAACUCCGCAAUGCGCGAAAGCGUGACGGGGUCACCUCGAGUGCCGUCCGCUGAGGAUGGUUUUUGCCCGGCUUAACCAGCCGGGUGAAUAAGGGGAGGGCAAGUCUGGUGUCAGCCGCCGCGGUAAUACCAGCUCCCCGAGUGGUUGGGACGAUUAUUGGGUCUAAAGCGUCCGUAGCCGGCCGGAAAAGUUCCCCGUUAAAUCUGACGAUCCAAUCGUCGGGCUGCGGGGAAUACUCUUCGGCUUGGAGGCGAGGGAGGUCGGCGGUAGUCUCGGGGUAGGGGCGAAAUCCUAUAAUCCCGAGAGGACCACCAGUGGCGAAGGCGGCCGACUAAAGCGCGCACGACGGUGAGGGACGAAAGCUGGGGGAGCGAACGGGAUUAGAUACCCCGGAGUCC
Molecule: ribosomal RNA, 414 nt
Filed under: uncultured archaeon
Lineage: Archaea
Description: partial 16S ribosomal RNA
Rfam family: Archaeal small subunit ribosomal RNA
Source: RNAcentral